GACGAACGCUGGCGGCGUGCUUAACACAUGCAAGCCGAACGGAAAGGCCCUGCUUUUGUGGGGUGCUCGAGUGGCGAACGGGUGAGUAACACGUGAGUAACCUGCCCUUGACUUUGGGAUAACUUCAGGAAACUGGGGCUAAUACCGGAUAGGAGCUCCUGCUGCAUGGUGGGGGUUGGAAAGUUUCGGCGGUUGGGGAUGGACUCGCGGCUUAUCAGCUUGUUGGUGGGGUAGUGGCUUACCAAGGCUUUGACGGGUAGCCGGCCUGAGAGGGUGACCGGCCACAUUGGGACUGAGAUACGGCCCAGACUCCUACGGGAGGCAGCUGUGGGGAAUAUUGCACAAUGGGCGGAAGCCUGAUGCAGCAACGCCGCGUGCGGGAUGACGGCCUUCGGGUUGUAAACCGCUUUCGCCUGUGACGAAGCGUGAGUGACGGUAAUGGGUAAAGAAGCACCGGCUAACUACGUG
Molecule: ribosomal RNA, 468 nt
Filed under: uncultured bacterium
Lineage: Bacteria
Description: partial 16S ribosomal RNA
Rfam family: Bacterial small subunit ribosomal RNA
Source: RNAcentral